RNAcentral lists this transfer RNA (57 nucleotides) under Bos taurus (domestic cattle). It matches the Rfam family "tRNA", at positions 8 to 63 of the family's 71-position model. From Rfam's summary of the family: Transfer RNA (tRNA) molecules are approximately 80 nucleotides in length. Their secondary structure includes four short double-helical elements and three loops (D, anti-codon, and T loops). Further hydrogen bonds mediate the characteristic L-shaped molecular structure. tRNAs have two regions of fundamental functional importance: the anti-codon, which is responsible for specific mRNA codon recognition, and the 3' end, to which the tRNAs corresponding amino acid is attached (by aminoacyl-tRNA synthetases). tRNAs cope with the degeneracy of the genetic code in two manners: having more than one tRNA (with a specific anti-codon) for a particular amino acid; and 'wobble' base-pairing, i.e. permitting non-standard base-pairing at the 3rd anti-codon position. RNAcentral also lists the same sequence under 1 other name. The record is from Rfam by way of RNAcentral. Lineage: Eukaryota; Metazoa; Chordata; Mammalia; Artiodactyla; Bovidae.
UGGCUCAGACGGUAAAGCGUCUGCCUGCAAUGCAGGAGACCCAGGUGCGAUUCCUGG